RNAcentral lists this long non-coding RNA (283 nucleotides) under Elaeis guineensis (African oil palm). Its description in RNAcentral is "long non-coding RNA (EGUI_LNC065492)". Lineage: Eukaryota; Viridiplantae; Streptophyta; Magnoliopsida; Arecales; Arecaceae. The record is from RNAcentral.
AUAGAAACUUGGAUGGAGUCUUGUUACUAUAGAAGUCCUGCUAUUGGGGAAGCUCGACCAUUGAUAAAGUUCGAAGGAAGUUCGGAGUAGAGUCGAUCAUGGCUGAAAGAAGUCUAGAAGAGAUUCGGAGAAUAGUCGAUCACUGCAGAAAAUCGACUGAUAUUGAAGCCCAAAGAGCAUUUGGAGCAGCCCAGUACGUGAAUGGAGGAGCUUAUUAUCAGAGAAGUCCGGAUGGUAAUAUGGAAGCUCGGCCAGUCGAGGGAGUUCAGAAAGAUGCCACACA